GCGACGAUGGCCGAGUGGUUAAGGCGUGAGAUUGCUGUUCUCAUUCUUGUAACAGAGCGUGGGUUCGAAUCCCGCUCGUCGCA
Molecule: non-coding RNA, 83 nt
Organism: Caenorhabditis brenneri
Lineage: Eukaryota; Metazoa; Nematoda; Chromadorea; Rhabditida; Rhabditidae
Source: Rfam